UGGGGAAUAUUGGACAAUGGGCGGAAGCCUGAUCCAGCAACGCCGCGUGAGGGAUGNCGGCCUUCGGGUUGUAAACCUCUUUUCAGUACCGGCGAAGCGGAAGUGACGGUAGGUACAGAAGAAGCACCGGCCAACUACGUGCCAGCAGCCGCGGUAAUACGUAGGGUGCGAGCGUUGUCCGGAAUUAUUGGGCGUAAAGGGCUCGUAGGCGGUUUUGUCGCGUCGGGAGUGAAAACACUGGGCUUAACUCAGUGCUUGCUUCCGAUACGGGCAGACUAGAGGCAUGCAGGGGAGAACGGAAUUCCUGGUGUAGCGGUGAAAUGCGCAGAUAUCAGGAGGAACA
This 343-nucleotide ribosomal RNA is filed under the name uncultured bacterium. RNAcentral's name for it is "partial 16S ribosomal RNA". It matches the Rfam family "Bacterial small subunit ribosomal RNA", at positions 355 to 708 of the family's 1533-position model. The record is from RNAcentral.